GGUUAGGGUUAGGGUUUAGGGGUUAGGGUUAGGGUUAGGGUUAGGGUUAGGGUUAGGGUUAGGGUUAGGGUUAGGGUUAGGGUUGGGGUUAGGGUUAGGGUUAGGGUUAGGGUUAGGGUUAGGGUUUAGGGUUAGGGGUUAGGGUUAGGGGUUAGGGUUAG
Suncus etruscus (white-toothed pygmy shrew) is the source of this 161-nucleotide long non-coding RNA. RefSeq lists it as uncharacterized. The transcript is spliced from 3 exons. The record is from RefSeq and is a predicted model, not a curated record. NCBI's taxonomy places the organism in Eukaryota, Metazoa, Chordata, Mammalia, Eulipotyphla, Soricidae.